CCCUCGAGCGGUCAGGCUCGGACCGGCCUGCGGAGCUGCAGCCGCCCUUAGCACCCUUUACGUCGACAACAUGCUCCAGUUCCUGCUUGGAUUUACUUUGGGCAACGUGGUUGGAAUGUAUCUGGCUCAGAACUAUGACAUGCCUAACGUGGCUAAAAAACUUGAAGAAAUUAAAAAGGACUUGGAUGCCAGGAAGAAACCCCCUAGUUCGUAAGGCCGACUCCAGCACUGCCUUCUGGAUACACUGAUUCUCCUGCGUUUUAGGGCCGCCUUUACCAUCUGAACCAAAAGCUCCAGCCGCAGCGAUUUUCUUCUUUGCUAGACCCUGUGUUGCCUUAGAGUGAAAAUGGGGCCCAGGUUAAGAACUGCCCUUACAUUUCCAACACCCUUACCUUUUCCCAUAUCCUUCCAGCUGCAUGGGAGAGUCUAAGACUGGAAUUAUGGUGCUAGAUUAGUAAACAUGACCGUUAAUGAGUA
Molecule: long non-coding RNA, 477 nt
Organism: Otolemur garnettii (small-eared galago)
Lineage: Eukaryota; Metazoa; Chordata; Mammalia; Primates; Galagidae
Exons: 3
Source: RefSeq, a predicted model, not a curated record